GAAAAAUGGCCAAACGCGGUAAAAUCUAAAGCCCUGUUACCAGCAAUCUACGACGAAUCUCCAGCACCUUCGACGAGGAAUCAUCAUUGGCCGACAGCCCCUGUUUUCAUCAGCAGUAGCAGGAUCAAGUUUUAAAUUCCUAGGACCACUAUCGAUAUGACUAUCGAGCGAAGCGCCAGAAAGGGAUUCAGCAGCAGUAGGAGAAAGGAUUUCCAGGUCCAAGAGGGCCUUUUUUUUGUUUGUUUAUUUGCUUGUUGCACAGCACACGACGCGGCUCAAAUCCAGAACGGACAGAAAGAGGAGAUCGGAACGCCAAAUACCGAUCGAUCCACAAAUUCAACAAAUUAC
Molecule: long non-coding RNA, 348 nt
Organism: Uranotaenia lowii
Lineage: Eukaryota; Metazoa; Arthropoda; Insecta; Diptera; Culicidae
Exons: 3
Source: RefSeq, a predicted model, not a curated record